UGUGAUUUGUAGAAUGUUCCAUAGCUGUUGUUGAGAUAGUAGGAACUGUUUUCUCCAACGUUGUGAGACGGCGACGACGGUUAAAGGUGGUCCUCCGAUGGGUAUGACGAGAGUUAAUAUUUGAUUCUCUUCCGGUUUGGCGAAAAGCUCCAUCUUCUUUAGUAUCAGGCGAAAUUAAGCGUUUCGUCUUAAUGUUCAAUCCUGCUGAUCUUGCAGUUUUAUCUGUGAAGUGGGGUCCUCUAUGUUUGAUUUUGUUGUAGUAAUGUCCAAGAAAAGGUGUUACUUUGUGAUGAUGUCCAGAUAAGACUACUGGUUCCUUUUCACUUAUAUUCAAGUCAGAUUUGGCAAUAGGUCCUUCUUUCGGAAUAGGUUUGUGAAUGCUAUUGAUUUCCUCUCCAUGAACUUUAGGUUCUGUUGAUUUCGGAUUGAAACUUUCUUUAUCUAUAGAUUUUUCUAUAGAAGUCACAGAUUUUGCUUUUAGUGACGCGAGUGAUGUCCCUUUAGAU
Molecule: long non-coding RNA, 506 nt
Filed under: Mytilus galloprovincialis (Mediterranean mussel)
Lineage: Eukaryota; Metazoa; Mollusca; Bivalvia; Mytilida; Mytilidae
Source: RNAcentral